RNAcentral lists this ribosomal RNA (405 nucleotides) under uncultured bacterium. RNAcentral describes it as "bacterial SSU rRNA". It matches the Rfam family "Bacterial small subunit ribosomal RNA", at positions 976 to 1380 of the family's 1533-position model. The record is from RNAcentral.
UGGGCUUGACAUGUUCCGGAUCGCUCCAGAGAUGGGGUUUCCCUUCGGGGCCGGUUCACAGGUGGUGCAUGGUCGUCGUCAGCUCGUGUCGUGAGAUGUUGGGUUAAGUCCCGCAACGAGCGCAACCCUCGCCGCGUGUUGCCAGCACAUUAUGGUGGGAACUCACGUGGGACCGCCGGGGUUAACUCGGAGGAAGGUGGGGAUGACGUCAGAUCAUCAUGCCCCUUACGUCCAGGGCUUCACGCAUGCUACAAUGGCCGGUACAACGGGAUGCGACACCGCGAGGUGGGGCGGAUCCCUGAAAACCGGUCUCAGUUCGGAUCGCAGUCUGCAACUCGACUGCGUGAAGGUGGAGUCGCUAGUAAUCGCGGAUCAGCAACGCCGCGGUGAAUGCGUUCCCGGGCC